AAGCCAACUCUUCCGCCGGGACCGCCUCCUUUUCACCAGCACCUGUUCAACUGGAACAUCAAGGGUCUGGGGCCCGCCGCCACCCCUCCCUUUGCGUCUAUCUAGUACCUUUCAUCAGGGAAAGGGGGGUUGAAUCCCCGCCCAGGCGGGUGGGGGGAAUAGGGCGGGGGAGAACUUGUCCUUGACCUGGUCUGUGGCGUCAAGAGAUUUACUCCCUUUAAUCCUGGCUAGCCUGGAGUUUGGGGAGGUCCGAGAAGCUGAGGUCUGGGCUGCAACUCCUACCUCCCCUUGCUCCUGUAGGGACUCGGGAAUCCCGGAGGGCUGCCAGGACGAAGAGUCCCUGUCUAAACGGGCGGGGCGGUGGUCUGUCAUUGCCGCGUCUUUGCUUUGGGAAGCAAAGCCUUUGCUGAGUUAGGGGCCCAGGUGGAGCUCAGAAGAGGGAGCCACUCAAGACGGGCGGGAUAGAAGGGCUACGCAGGGGUGGGGGACAGCAAGUGAGCAGUGUCCCCCAACUGCGGCCUGCAGCAGAAGCGGAGAAAGCAGAUGUGUGGAUUUGGACUGAGAUUGUGUCACCAUCAUUUCUGAGUCCCCAGAGCCUGGCCUGGAGCUUGCUACGAGGUGGGUGCUCAGCGACUGUGGAUGAAUAGAUGAAUGAACUCACCAUACAAGCCAUGGAAGGAUAGCAGGAGGAGGGCAAGCCUGAAGUCAUUCCUGGGGAUGUGGAGCAAGGAUGGGAAAAGGGAAGAAACAGGAAAAGGGGAAAAGGCUAAGCUACUGCCAAAAGCACUUGGAUUUAUCAAUUGCUUCUAUGGACCAGGCGCUAAGCAUACAGGUUUCUCAUUUAAGCCUGAUAGCAUCCUCAAGGAGGAAUACUGUCUGCUUGUAUAUUAUCUGGUUCCCCCUAGUUUACUAGAAUGUAAACUUCUGGGCAGUGGCGGUUGUCUGUUUUGCUCACCACUGUGCUCCAACAUUAAAUAGGCUCAUUGAUAGGGGUGCCAGAUGAAAUACAAGAUGUCCAGUUAAAUUUGAAUUAUAGAAAAAGAAUAAUUUUUUAAGUAUAAAUAUGUUCUGUAUUUUUUUUUAUGCUAAAUUUGGCAAUCCUGUACAUAGUAGAUGUUUAAUAAAUAUUGUUGAAUAAACGUUGCUUGAUUACGUGACACCCUGGGGAUGCAAUCAGUAAAUUCCAGACCGUGGGAAAUCUAGAUGAUAGUCUGGUAUCUUCAGCGAAUAAGUU
This is a long non-coding RNA of Rhinolophus ferrumequinum (greater horseshoe bat), 1234 nucleotides long. RefSeq lists it as uncharacterized. The transcript has 3 exons. Lineage: Eukaryota; Metazoa; Chordata; Mammalia; Chiroptera; Rhinolophidae. The record is from RefSeq and is a predicted model, not a curated record.